CCAAUAUGUUUUCUUUUUUAUUACAGUAUGCUUUUUACAUUGUGCUGGGGGCAGAUUUUGACUUCACAACUGGUGACAUGGACACAAUCAGGACAUGGUGGUGCCUGUUGCUCCUGUCUGGUCAUUCAGUUGUCAGGUUUGCACAGAAAAGGAAAUAUGAAGAUC
Long non-coding RNA from Perca flavescens (yellow perch), 165 nucleotides. RefSeq lists it as uncharacterized. The record is from RefSeq and is a predicted model, not a curated record. The transcript is spliced from 3 exons. NCBI's taxonomy places the organism in Eukaryota, Metazoa, Chordata, Actinopteri, Perciformes, Percidae.